RNAcentral lists this ribosomal RNA (253 nucleotides) under uncultured bacterium. RNAcentral describes it as "partial 16S ribosomal RNA". It matches the Rfam family "Bacterial small subunit ribosomal RNA", at positions 524 to 776 of the family's 1533-position model. The record is from RNAcentral.
UACGAAGGGGGCUAGCGUUGCUCGGAAUUACUGGGCGUAAAGGGCGCGUAGGCGGAUGUUUAAGUCAGGCGUGAAAGCCCUGGGCUCAACCCGGGAAUUGCGCUUGAGACUGGUGUGCUCGAGUACGGGAGAGGAUAGUGGAAUUCCCAGUGUAGAGGUGAAAUUCGUAGAUAUUGGGAAGAACACCAGUGGCGAAGGCGGCUAUCUGGACCGUAACUGACGCUGAGGCGCGAAAGCGUGGGGAGCAAACAGG